RNAcentral lists this ribosomal RNA (500 nucleotides) under uncultured bacterium. RNAcentral's name for it is "partial 16S ribosomal RNA". It matches the Rfam family "Bacterial small subunit ribosomal RNA", at positions 30 to 523 of the family's 1533-position model. The record is from RNAcentral.
AUUGAACGCUGGCGGCAGGCCUAACACAUGCAAGUCGAGCGGAUUUUGGGGGCUUGCUCCCAAGGUUAGCGGCGGACGGGUGAGUAACGCGUAGGAAUUUGCCCAGUAGUGGGGGAUAACGUUCCGAAAGGAACGCUAAUACCGCAUACGCCCCAUGGGGGAAAGCAGGGGAUCUUCGGAACUUGAGCUAUUGGAGAAGCCUGCGUCGGAUUAGCUAGUUGGUAGGGUAAAGGCCUACCAAGGCGACGAUCCGUAGCUGGUCUGAGGGGAUGAUCAGCCACACUGGGACUGAGACACGGCCCAGACUCCUACGGGAGGCAGCAGUGGGGAAUAUUGGACAAUGGGGGCAACCCUGAUCCAGCCAUGCCGCGUGUGUGAAGAAGGCCUUCGGGUUGUAAAGCACUUUCAGUAGGGAGGAAAAGUUGGCGGCUAAUAUCCGUUGACCCUGACGUUACCUACAGAAGAAGCACCGGCAAACUCCGUGCCAGCCGCCGCCGUAA